CCUACGGGGGACAGCAGUGAGGAAUAUUGGUCAAUGGACGCAAGUCUGAACCAGCCAUGCCGCGUGCAGGAAGACGGCUCUAUGAGUUGUAAACUGCUUUUGUACGAGGGUAAACUCAGAUACGCGUAUCUGUCUGAAAGUAUCGUACGAAUAAGGAUCGGCUAACUCCGUGCCAGCAGCCGCGGUAAUACGGAGGAUUCAAGCGUUAUCCGGAUUUAUUGGGUUUAAAGGGUGCGUAGGCGGUCGGAUAAGUUAGAGGUGAAAUCCCGAGGCUCAACUUCGGAAUUGCCUCUGAUACUGGUUGGCUAGAGAGUAGGUGCGGUAGGCGGAAUGUAUGGUGUAGCGGUGAAAUGCUUAGAGAUCAUACAGAACACCGAUUGCGAAGGCAGCUUACCAGGCUACAUCUGACGUUGAGGCACGAAAGCGUGGGGAGCAAACAGGAUUAGAUACCCGAGUAGUC
RNAcentral lists this ribosomal RNA (460 nucleotides) under uncultured bacterium. RNAcentral's name for it is "partial 16S ribosomal RNA". It matches the Rfam family "Bacterial small subunit ribosomal RNA", at positions 338 to 795 of the family's 1533-position model. The record is from RNAcentral.